UUCAUAGCUCAGUUGGUAAAGCAUGAGACUCUUAAUCACAGGAUCAUGGGUUUAAACCUUACCUUUGGCAAAA
Non-coding RNA from Podarcis lilfordi (Lilford's wall lizard), 73 nucleotides. Lineage: Eukaryota; Metazoa; Chordata; Lepidosauria; Squamata; Lacertidae. The record is from the annotation of a GenBank genome assembly.